Small nuclear RNA from Drosophila nasuta, 151 nucleotides. RefSeq annotates it as U2 spliceosomal RNA. Lineage: Eukaryota; Metazoa; Arthropoda; Insecta; Diptera; Drosophilidae. The record is from RefSeq and is a predicted model, not a curated record. The transcript has a single exon.
AUAUUUUAAUUAAAUUUAAUUUAAAAUAUUUUUUAUUCAAUGAACGUUGUUAAACUGAUUUUUGGAAUCAGACGGAGUGCUAGGAGCUUGCUCCACCUCUGUCACGGGUUGGCCUGGUAUUGCAGUACCGCCGGGACUCGGCCCAACUAAU